UUCCUUUUUCUCCCCUCCCCCUUCCUCACAUCCUGUGCCCCUUCUUCUUUACUCUCCUUCCCCCUUCCCCACAUCCCACUGCUUUUCCUCUCCUUCCUCUCCAUCCCCUUCCCCUCCUACUUCUUCACAUUCUCUUCCCCAUCCUCUCCCUCUCCCCUUUUCGCUCCAUCCCCUUCCCCACAUCCUACGCCCUUUCUUUUCCCUCUUCCCUUUCCCCUUCUCUUCCACCCCCUCCACUUCCCUCACGUUCCAUUCCCCUGCCUCUCCUUUUUCCUCUCCUUCCCCCUCCCCUUCUCUUCCCCUUCCUUUCCCUUUCUUCACAUUCCUAUUCCCCUUCCUCUCCCUCUUCUUUUCCCUCCAUCCCCUUCCCCACAUCCUAUUCCCCUCCCCCUCCAUCCCCUUCCCCACAUCCUCUACUCUUUCCUCUCCUUCUUCCCUUUCCCCUCCCUUUUUCCUCCCCUUCCUCUCCUUCCCUUUCCCCCUCCCUCAUCCCGUUCCCUUUCCCCUCCGUCCCACAGCCCCUUUCCUCCUCCCCACCCCUACAACCCCUCUCCCCUUUUCCCCCUGCAGACCCUCCUGCUCUUCUCCCACUCUCUGGACACCAACGCAGACUGCACGCUGCUGGUCGCAGACCAAUGGUUGGAGCUGCUCCUCCCAGACCCCGACUCAGCUCUGCGGCUCCUGGGGACGGCGCUGCGGCUCCGCGCCGCCUGGGAACUCGUCCUGGAUCAGCACUUGGGGGGCAGCGGUGGGGCAGAGAGCAGGGAGGGGGAUGCGGCCAAGCUGAGACGGGGGCUGCUGGAAUUCCUGCAGGAGAAGGUGGGUAUGGGGGGAUCUGGGGGGGGUUUGUUGAGUUCUGUAGGAUCGGGUUGGGUUGGGGUUGGUUGAGUUCUGUAGGGUCGGGUUGGGUUGGGGGUUGGUUGAGUUCUGUAGGGUUGGGUUGAGUUGGGUUGGGGUUGGUUGAGUUCUGUAGGGUCAGGUUGAGUUGGGUUGGUUGAGUUCUGUAGGGUCGGGUUGGGUUGGGGGUUGGUUGAGUUCUGUAGGAUCGGGUUGGGGGUUGGUUGAGUUCUGUAGGGUCGGGUUGAG
Molecule: long non-coding RNA, 1086 nt
Filed under: Phasianus colchicus (ring-necked pheasant)
Lineage: Eukaryota; Metazoa; Chordata; Aves; Galliformes; Phasianidae
Description: lncRNA (ENSPCLG00000019808.1)
Source: RNAcentral